RNAcentral lists this ribosomal RNA (597 nucleotides) under Taiozyma onychis. RNAcentral describes it as "Wickerhamomyces onychis partial large subunit ribosomal RNA". Lineage: Eukaryota; Fungi; Ascomycota; Saccharomycetes; Phaffomycetales; Wickerhamomycetaceae. The record is from RNAcentral.
ACAUUCAAUGCAUCCUAGUCCUAGGACGCACUCCUCGAUCCACACAGGCGGCAUCUGCCCAGGAGCUAUAAACACACCAGCCCCGCAAGGGGCCGCUGCCACAUUCUCCACGCCAUUCUCCCGCCGUCCGAAUCGAUGCUGGCCCAGCGCGCAGGGAGUAGCCUCCCCGCCACAAGGGCAAGGGGGGACCCCCAACCGCCGACAAUGAUGAACUACCAUUCUUCCCUUUCAACAAUUUCACGUACUUUUUUCUCUUCUUUUCGAAGUUCUUUUCAUCUUUUCAUUGCUGUAGUUGUUCAUUAUCGGCCUCUCGCCAUUAAUUAGCUUUUGAUGGAAAUUACCAACCACUUACAGCUGUAUUCCCCAACUACUCUACUCUUCGGAUCUCUACUAGGAGCAGGGGGGCCUCGUCGCAGGACAUUAUCAUCAUCUGCUGACGACGUGCUGCUAGGAACAUAUAGGCGAGGGCGCCUGAGUAGUCUUCUUCUUCUUACUACACUCGGGCUGCGCCACGAACAGCAUAUAACAAGAUGUGUUCUGCUGCUUCGUCGUAGUGACUGAGUCAUGCUGUGCUUCUCUCCUCUAUUAUAUACAUGA